Molecule: ribosomal RNA, 442 nt
Filed under: uncultured bacterium
Lineage: Bacteria
Description: partial 16S ribosomal RNA
Rfam family: Bacterial small subunit ribosomal RNA
Source: RNAcentral
CCUACGGGUGGCAGCAGUGAGGAAUAUUGGUCAAUGGGGGGAACCCUGAUCCAGCGACGCCGCGUGAGUGAAGAAGUAUUUCGGUAUGUAAAGCUCUGUCAGCAGGGAAGAAAGAAAUGACGGUACCUGACCAAGAAGCCCCGGCUAACUACGUGCCAGCAGCCGCGGUAAUACGUAGGGGGCAAGCGUUAUCCGGAAUUACUGGGUGUAAAGGGAGCGCAGGCGGAAGAUCAAGUCAGCGGUAAAAUUGAGAGGCUCAACCUCUUCGAGCCGUUGAAACUGGUUUUCUUGAGUGAGCGAGAAGUAUGCGGAAUGCGUGGUGUAGCGGUGAAAUGCAUAGAUAUCACGCAGAACUCCGAUUGCGAAGGCAGCAUACCGGCGCUCAACGGACGCUCAUGCACGAAAGUGUGGGUAUCGAACAGGAUUAGAUACCCUAGUAGUC